GGGUCAGUAGAUUAAAGGCAAAUCCCCGGACUCCAAAUCCGGAUAAUGGGGGUUCAAAUCCCUCCUGGCCUGCCA
RNAcentral lists this transfer RNA (75 nucleotides) under Lentisphaerota bacterium. Its description in RNAcentral is "Lentisphaerae bacterium (invertebrate metagenome) tRNA-Trp". It matches the Rfam family "tRNA". From Rfam's summary of the family: Transfer RNA (tRNA) molecules are approximately 80 nucleotides in length. The record is from RNAcentral. Lineage: Bacteria; Pseudomonadati; Lentisphaerota.